Long non-coding RNA from Brienomyrus brachyistius, 734 nucleotides. RefSeq lists it as uncharacterized. NCBI's taxonomy places the organism in Eukaryota, Metazoa, Chordata, Actinopteri, Osteoglossiformes, Mormyridae. The record is from RefSeq and is a predicted model, not a curated record. The transcript is spliced from 4 exons.
AUGAUUAUACUUAACUUUUAAGACUGUUGAUGUGUUUAUAUAUUCGCUUCAAAUUGUAAAGAUAUAUUAAAUUAGCGUUUAAUCAUUUCACGCAAUAUAUGCAUUUUUUUUUCAUUCAUCCUCGACGUUAGAAGGCGCCCUCUUAAACUAAACAAGUCACAAACACCAUAGAAGCAACACGAUUGCGUUUCAGGAAUUGAUAUGGACAUAACCAUGCUUUUGACUAGUUGAAGAAUACAAACAUCUUUGCAAUCAUUAAGGCAAUAUCAGUCUCCACAAAGACAACUUCUGAGAUGACAAUGGAGCUUGUGGUGAAAGAAAAAAUGUCAAAAACCCUUGCUCUCCGAAGACAUGAGGUGGUUGAAUUGUGCCCAACUUGCAGAAUUUAAAGAUCACUGGCCUGCUCUGUUUGACAUUCUCCAGAUUAAUGAAGAGUUUAGGAGAAUUACUACUCUGCACCUUGAGACAACAUUUAUUAAGAUGUUGGAUUACUACACUCCUAAACUUUUCACAAUAUUUUCCUGCAAAGGAGGAGCACUCGGACAGAUUUUGAAGAAGAAAACGGGUGCCAUACAGCAGACCUCACAUCAAAACAUAGAACAGACAAGAGAUGUUGUCCUCCGUUGCUUGGUCUAUUACUUGGGUGAAAAGGAGGAAGACCUCAUCCAGGAGUACAAUGUAAGUGUCUAAAACUAAUUCAGAUAUUUGUUUGCAGAAAACUGCAAUUAGCAUUU